This 198-nucleotide ribosomal RNA is filed under the name uncultured bacterium. RNAcentral describes it as "partial 16S ribosomal RNA". It matches the Rfam family "Bacterial small subunit ribosomal RNA", at positions 328 to 539 of the family's 1533-position model. The record is from RNAcentral.
ACGCUCGACACCUACGGGAGGCAGCAGUGGGGAAUAUUGCACAAUGGGGGAAACCCUGAUGCAGCGACGCCGCGUGAGCGAAGAAGUAUUUCGGUAUGUAAAGCUCUAUCAGCAGGGAAGAUCAUGACGGUACCUGACUAAGAAGCUCCGGCUAAAUACGCGCCAGCAGCCGCGGUAAUCUGAGCGGGCUGGCAAGGC